GAUUAACGCUGGCGGCGUGCAUAACACAUGCAAGUCGAACGAUGAAACUUUAAUGAACCCUUCGGGGAGAAUUAAAGCGGAUUAGUGGCGAACGGGUGAGUAACGCGUGAGUAACCUGCCUUGCACAAGGGGAUAGCCUUUGGAAACGAAGAAUAAUACCCUAUAAAACCAUAAAAGCACAUGCAAUUAUGGUCAAAGUGAUAGCGGUGUAAGAUGGACUUGCGUCUGAUUAGCUAGUUGGUGAGAUAAAAGCCCACCAAGGCAACGAUCAGUAGCCGGCUUGAGAGAGUGUCCGGCCACAUUGGGACUGAGACACGGCCCAGACUCCUACGGGAGGCGGCAGUGGGGAAUUUUGCACAAUGGGGGAAACCCUGAUGCAGCGACGCCGCGUGAUUUAGAAGGCCUUCGGGUUGUAAAAAUCUUUUGUAUAGGAAGAAAAUGACAGUACUAUACGAAUAAGGUCCGGCUAAUUACGUG
This 477-nucleotide ribosomal RNA is filed under the name uncultured bacterium. RNAcentral describes it as "partial 16S ribosomal RNA". It matches the Rfam family "Bacterial small subunit ribosomal RNA", at positions 28 to 507 of the family's 1533-position model. The record is from RNAcentral.